CUACGGGGGGCAGCAGUGAGGAAUUUUGCGCAAUGGGGGAAACCCUGACGCAGCAACGCCGCGUGAGUGAUGAAGGCUUUCGAGUCGUAAAGCUCUGUCAAGUGGGAAGAACCUACUAAGUGCCAAUACCACUUAGUACUGACGGUACCACUGAAGGAAGCACCGGCUAACUCCGUGCCAGCAGCCGCGGUAAUACGGGGGGUGCAAGCGUUGCUCGGAAUUAUUGGGCGGAAAGGGCGCGCAGGCGGCCAGGUAAGUCAGAUGUGAAAGCCCGGGGCUCAACCCCGGAAGGGCAUUUGAAACUACUUGGCUUGAGUAUGGGAGAGGGAAGUGGAAUUCCUGGUGUAGAGGUGAAAUUCGUAGAUAUCAGGAGGAACACCGGUGGCGAAGGCGACUUCCUGGACCAAUACUGACGCUGAGGCGCGAAGGCGUGGGUAGCAAACAGGAUUAGAUACCCCUGUAGUC
Molecule: ribosomal RNA, 465 nt
Filed under: uncultured bacterium
Lineage: Bacteria
Description: partial 16S ribosomal RNA
Rfam family: Bacterial small subunit ribosomal RNA
Source: RNAcentral